UGGGCGGAGGGAGCGCCGGCUUCCAGAGACCUCCUGGAGGGAUGUUUGGGUGUGCCCUCUCAGCGUCCCCUCCACCGCCAUCUCCACACCCUUGCCGCGCCCAUGCACUCGUCGACCAGGCCAAGGUUUCUCCUGGCCCUUCCCAGCUUCCGGCGCUUCGCUCCAGACCAGGUCGCAGGGCCGGGCGGUGCCAGGAGUUCACGAGUCCUCUGUUUACUGUUUGGUUUCCACGGUGAUACGUAGGUGCCGUCAGCGACUCCCGUCACCGCCUCGCAGCGCGGCCCCCACCCGGCGCCGUGACGUCAGCCCGCCGCUUCCGCUCUGCCCAUAUUUGGCUCAGCCACUCUGCCGCCGGCCGCGGUAGGCUGGGGGCGGGACUCCCGCUGCGUCCAGCCCCCGGUCCCUGCCCCGCCCCCUGGAAUGCUGGGUGAAGGCUCCAAGCCGCGAGACCCCCGCCCCCUGCCCCGGGACCCGCGAGGGCGGAGGCGAGGGCGGGGGCGUUGGGGGUCCAGAGAGAGGGUUCCGCGAUUGAUGGAUAAGCUGUUUCCAGCAUUCCUAUGCGUCUCCUAGUUGAGGCUGCAGUCAAGAUUUGGGGCGGUCUCGUUUGUUGUGGGUGGCUGAUCUGGGAUCACGAUUUUCUCACUCUGUGCCCGGAAAUCAUGCCAUCCCUCGCCCAACGCUGUAUUUUAUAGGCUUCAACUAAAAAUUUUCCUUCAUGGCGCAGUGGAAAGCUUUGAAGACCGCAGUUCUGGGGCUGAAUACGAAGGCAACUCGGAUUAAGAAGACGGCUGCUUUCCAACUGCCCUCCCGCCCUGCAGCUGGCUGAUUUGAGGAAGGGGCUGGGAUCCUUCGCUUGCUCUCUAGUUUUUCUUGGAGUUACAGCAGUCCCGCGGCAGCUCUGCCCCCUGGUGCACCUGUGAGGCAGCGCGCCCUUCUCCAAUUGAGACGCAUCUUCGCGCUGCUGCCAGCAAGGGGAAGAGGUUUUCUGUAUUUCACUCUGGUGGAAAUAGCAAAACUGGACAGAAAAAAACCCCAAGCCAAACCAAAAUACACGAACCAUUCUAGUC
Callithrix jacchus (white-tufted-ear marmoset) is the source of this 1067-nucleotide RNA transcript. It is a transcript of the gene named large ribosomal subunit protein eL29 pseudogene, with no coding region annotated. The record is from RefSeq and is a predicted model, not a curated record. NCBI's taxonomy places the organism in Eukaryota, Metazoa, Chordata, Mammalia, Primates, Cebidae.